AGUCGACGAGACCUUCGGGUCUAGUGGCGCACGGGUGCGUAACGCGUGGGAAUCUGCCCUUGGGUUCGGAAUAACAGUUGGAAACGACUGCUAAUACCGGAUGAUGACGAAAGUCCAAAGAUUUAUCGCCCAGGGAUGAGCCCGCGUAGGAUUAGCUAGUUGGUGAGGUAAAGGCUCACCAAGGCUACGAUCCUUAGCUGGUCUGAGAGGAUGAUCAGCCACACUGGGACUGAGACACGGCCCAGACUCCUACGGGAGGCAGCAGUAGGGAAUAUUGGACAAUGGGGGCAACCCUGAUCCAGCAAUGCCGCGUGAGUGAUGAAGGCCUUAGGGUUGUAAAGCUCUUUUACCCGGGAUGAUAAUGACAGUACCGGGAGAAUAAGCCCCGGCUAACUCCGUGCCAGCAGCCGCGGUAAUACGGAGGGGGCUAGCGUUGUUCGGAAUUACUGGGUGUAAAGCGCACGUAGGCGGCGAUUUAAGUCAGAGGUGAAAGCCCGGGGCUCAACCCCGGAAUAGCCUUUGAGACUGGAUUGCUUAAAUCUUGGAGAGGCGGGUGGAAUUCCGAGUGUANAGGUGAAAUUCGUAGAUAUUCGGAAGAACACCAGUGGCGAAGGCGGCCCGCUGGACAAGUAUUGACGCUGAGGUGCGAAAG
RNAcentral lists this ribosomal RNA (652 nucleotides) under uncultured bacterium. Its description in RNAcentral is "bacterial SSU rRNA". It matches the Rfam family "Bacterial small subunit ribosomal RNA", at positions 60 to 759 of the family's 1533-position model. The record is from RNAcentral.